Parasteatoda tepidariorum (common house spider) is the source of this 487-nucleotide long non-coding RNA. Lineage: Eukaryota; Metazoa; Arthropoda; Arachnida; Araneae; Theridiidae. The record is from RefSeq and is a predicted model, not a curated record.
GAAAUGAUUUUGAAUAUUUUUGGGAAGGUCAGUGGGAUCAAACAAUCUAUUCGAAUAAAGUUGCGAUUUCCAUUUAUUUCUGCAGUUUUUUUAGAUUUCGAUUUUCUACUACCUGAUACGUAAUAUGUUAACCUAUAUAUAGUGGUCAGAUCGGACUACUUAUAAGAAAACGCGCGGAGGCUAGCAGUUACUCUAAUCAUCGCCAGGCAUACAAUUUAAUCUGAAUAAUGGUAGUCGUAAAACUGAGCUUUUUUAUAAUUGUGACAUCUUCGUAUUUUAUGAGAUCUUCUGGAGGUAAGUAACUUUAAUGUUUUUCAGUGAGUAAAUCAGUAUUUAAAUAGCUUUAAAUUAUAAUUUUAUUUAUUAAAAUUAGUAAGUGCGUAGAUAGCAACUUAGAGACAUAAAAGUUCUAAAGUUAGAACUACUUGAAAUUUUUCUUUCAUGUUGUUCCAAAAUAAAAUUCGACCAUUCUUUCAAGUGCAGAUUU